GGAGGGGUGGCAGAGCGGUUGAAUGCACCGGUCUUGAAAACCGGCGUAGGUUAAUAGCCUACCCAGGGUUCGAAUCCCUGCCCCUCCG
This 88-nucleotide transfer RNA is filed under the name Pseudohongiella acticola. It matches the Rfam family "tRNA". From Rfam's summary of the family: Transfer RNA (tRNA) molecules are approximately 80 nucleotides in length. Their secondary structure includes four short double-helical elements and three loops (D, anti-codon, and T loops). Further hydrogen bonds mediate the characteristic L-shaped molecular structure. tRNAs have two regions of fundamental functional importance: the anti-codon, which is responsible for specific mRNA codon recognition, and the 3' end, to which the tRNAs corresponding amino acid is attached (by aminoacyl-tRNA synthetases). tRNAs cope with the degeneracy of the genetic code in two manners: having more than one tRNA (with a specific anti-codon) for a particular amino acid; and 'wobble' base-pairing, i.e. permitting non-standard base-pairing at the 3rd anti-codon position. Lineage: Bacteria; Pseudomonadati; Pseudomonadota; Gammaproteobacteria; Pseudomonadales; Pseudohongiellaceae. The record is from Rfam by way of RNAcentral.